RNAcentral lists this transfer RNA (70 nucleotides) under Craugastor melanostictus. RNAcentral's name for it is "tRNA-Val". The record is from RNAcentral. Lineage: Eukaryota; Metazoa; Chordata; Amphibia; Anura; Craugastoridae.
CGAAGUAUAGCUUAACGCAAAGCACCUUGCUUACACCAAGAAGAAAUUCUGUCACACGAACUACUUCGAG